UUCGCAAUGCCCGAAAGGGUGACGAAGCGACGCCGCGUGCGGGAAGAAGGCCUUCGGGUUGUAAACCACUGUCGGGAGUUAGGAAAUGUAAGGGUGCUAAUAGUAUCCUUACUUGACUAAGGCUCCGGAGGAAGCCACGGCUAACUCUGUGCCGGCAGCCGCGGUAAUACAGAGGCGGCAAGCGUUGUUCGGAAUUAUUGGGCGUAAAGAGCACGUAGGCGGCUAUGUAAGUCGGUUGUGAAAGCCUUCCGCUCAACGGAAGAACAGCAUCCGAUACUGCAUGGCUUGAGUGCGGGAGGGGAGAGUGGAACUUCUGGUGGAGCGGUGAAAUGCGUAGAUAUCAGAAGGAACACCGGCGGCGAAGGCGACUCUCUGGUCCGUAACUGACGCUGAGUGUGCGAAAGCUAGGGGAGCAAACGGGAUUAGAUACCCCGGUAGUCCUAGCCGUAAAC
Molecule: ribosomal RNA, 452 nt
Filed under: uncultured bacterium
Lineage: Bacteria
Description: bacterial SSU rRNA
Rfam family: Bacterial small subunit ribosomal RNA
Source: RNAcentral